RNAcentral lists this microRNA precursor (100 nucleotides) under Gorilla gorilla gorilla (western lowland gorilla). Its description in RNAcentral is "miRNA (ENSGGOG00000040649.1)". Lineage: Eukaryota; Metazoa; Chordata; Mammalia; Primates; Hominidae. The record is from RNAcentral.
UGAGGCAGGAGAAUUGCUUGAACCCAGGAAGCGGAGGUUGCAGUGAGCUGAGAUCGCGCCACUACACUCCAGCCUGGGUGACAGAGCGAGACUCCGUCUC